Molecule: long non-coding RNA, 588 nt
Filed under: Malus domestica (apple)
Lineage: Eukaryota; Viridiplantae; Streptophyta; Magnoliopsida; Rosales; Rosaceae
Description: long non-coding RNA (MDOM_LNC015659)
Source: RNAcentral
AUGGGAUACUCAUUCUACGAAACUAGUUUCAAUGAUCCAACCGUCAAACAUGUUUAUAUAUACUUCGAGAUUGCGUACGCCAAAAAUUGCAAAAAACAAACAUUCAGAGAUCAAGUAACGGGACAAAACGUUUCGACGGUUAUAAACGAAAAAUCACGAUUUAACGGUCAUUUUAACUCCGAUUUUGAUGAUUUUUUACAACUACACUCCUUGACCCUAUAUGAAUACAAUGAUUAAAUUCGAUCUUCAAUUUAAAAUAUUUACACUAGUGGAAACCACAAAAUUUUAUGUUAUACUUAAUAAAAGUAUGAAUAAACUCUUAAGUAUUAGUGAAUCUAUUGUUUUGAUGGGAUACUCAUUCUACGAAACUAGUUUCAAUGAUCCAACCGUCAAACAUGUUUGUAUAUAUUCGAGAUCGCAUACGCCAAAAAUUGCAAAAAACAAACAUUCAGAGAUCACGUAACGGGACAAAACUUUUCGACGGUUAUAAACGAAAAAUCACAAUUUAACGGUUAAUUAACUCCGAUUUUGAUGAUUUUUUACAACUACACUCCUUGACUUUAUAUGAAUACAAUGAUUGAAUUCGAU